This 322-nucleotide ribosomal RNA is filed under the name uncultured eukaryote. RNAcentral's name for it is "partial 18S ribosomal RNA". It matches the Rfam family "Eukaryotic small subunit ribosomal RNA", at positions 1470 to 1796 of the family's 1831-position model. The record is from RNAcentral.
CCCUUAGAUGUUCUGGGCCGCACGCGUGCUACACUGAGUGGAUCAGCGGGUCAGGUUGCGCGAAAGCGUUUCCUAAUCUUUAAAUCCGCUCGGGAUGGGGAUUGACGGUUGCAAUUUUCUGUCAUGAACGAGGAAUACCUUGUAAGCGCGGGUCAUCAUCCCGCGCUGAAUACGUCCCUGCCCUUUGUACACACCGCCCGUCGCUCCUACCGAUUGAGUGGUCCGGUGAGGCUUUGGGAUCUGAGCGGAAAGAGCGUUUCGCUGUUUCUGCUCGGAAAACUCAGUCGAACCUUAUCAUUUAGAGGAAGGAGAAGUCGUAACA